GACGAACGCUGGCGGCGUGCUUAACACAUGCAAGUCGAACGAAGUGGCGGACGGGUGAGUAACGCGUAAUCAACCUGCCCUUCAGAGGGGGACAACAGUUGGAAACGACUGCUAAUACCGCAUACUGAAGGAGGGGAUUGCGUCUGAUUAGCUAGUUGGAGGGGUAACGGCCCACCAAGGCGAUGAUCAGUAGCCGGGCCGGGGAGAUGAACGGCCACAUUGGGACUUAGACACGGCCCAAGAUCCUACGGGAGGCAGCAGGGGGGAAUCUUCCGCAAUGGACGAAAGUCUGACGGAGCAACGCCGCGUGAGUGAUGACGGCCUUCGGGUUGUAAAGCUCUGUUAAUCGGGACGCGGUACCGGAAUAGAAAGCCACGGCUAACUACGUGCUAGCAGCCGCGGUAAUUC
This 408-nucleotide ribosomal RNA is filed under the name uncultured bacterium. RNAcentral describes it as "partial 16S ribosomal RNA". It matches the Rfam family "Bacterial small subunit ribosomal RNA", at positions 28 to 526 of the family's 1533-position model. The record is from RNAcentral.